AAAGGAAUCAACGAUAGUGAAGAACACGCUCACCAAUUGGGGCAACUUCUGCGCCUGCGCUCUUCCAACGUUACAUUAAACUGUAUUCCUUAUAAUUCUACCUCCGUUGCUCGAAAGUUUCAUUCACCUUCUUUCAGCUCUACACAGAAGUUUGUAAAAGUCGUGAAAAGUUAUGGAGUUUUGGUGACUCUUCGCAAGGAGAUGGGCGUUGAUAUUUCCGGCGCUUGCGGGCAACUCGUUACCGAACUGAAGGACGUGGAAGAUUUGAUAACUUCGCCGUAUUAU
Molecule: long non-coding RNA, 285 nt
Organism: Zophobas morio
Lineage: Eukaryota; Metazoa; Arthropoda; Insecta; Coleoptera; Tenebrionidae
Exons: 3
Source: RefSeq, a predicted model, not a curated record